RNAcentral lists this transfer RNA (51 nucleotides) under Tetranychus phaselus. RNAcentral's name for it is "tRNA-Arg". The record is from RNAcentral. Lineage: Eukaryota; Metazoa; Arthropoda; Arachnida; Trombidiformes; Tetranychidae.
AAUUGAUAAAUAAAAGUUUUGAUUUCGAAUCAAAAAAUUAAUAAUCAAAAA